Long non-coding RNA from Oncorhynchus keta (chum salmon), 902 nucleotides. RefSeq lists it as uncharacterized. The transcript is spliced from 5 exons. NCBI's taxonomy places the organism in Eukaryota, Metazoa, Chordata, Actinopteri, Salmoniformes, Salmonidae. The record is from RefSeq and is a predicted model, not a curated record.
GCUAGUUGAGAUCACCUUUAUUUAACCAGGUAGGCUAGUUGAGAACACCUUUAUUUAACCAGGUAGGCUAGUUGAGAACACCUUUAUUUAACCAGGUAGGCUAGUUGAGAACACCUUUAUUUAACCAGGUAGGCUAGUUGAGAACACCUUUAUUUAACCAGGUAGGCUAGUUGAGAACACCUUUAUUUAACCAGGUAGGCUAGUUGAGAUCACCUUUAUUUAACCAGGUAGGCUAGUUGAGAACACCUUUAUUUAACCAGGUAGGCUAGUUGAGAUCACCUUUAUUUAACCAGGUAGGCUAGUUGAGAACACCUUUAUUUAACCAGGUAGGCUAGUUGAGAACACCUUUAUUUAACCAGGUAGGCUAGUUGAGAACACCUUUAUUUAACCAGGUAGGCUAGUUGAGAACACCUUUAUUUAACCAGGUAGGCUAGUUGAGAUCACCUUUAUUUAACCAGGUAGGCUAGUUGAGAACACCUUUAUUUAACCAGGUAGGCUAGUUGAGAUCACCUUUAUUUAACCAGGUAGGCUAGUUGAGAACACCUUUAUUUAACCAGGUAGGCUAGUUGAGAUCACCUUUAUUUAACCAGGUAGGCUAGUUGAGAACACCUUUAUUUAACCAGGUAGGCUAGUUGAGAUCACCUUUAUUUAACCAGGUAGGCUAGUUGAGAACACCUUUAUUUAACCAGGUAGGCUAGUUGAGAACACCUUUAUUUAACCAGGUAGGCUAGUUGAGAACACCUUUAUUUAACCAGGUAGGCUAGUUGAGAACACCUUUAUUUAACCAGGUAGGCUAGUUGAGAACACCUUUAUUUAACCAGGUAGGCCAGUUGAGAACAAGUUCUCAUUUGCAACUGCGACCUGGCCAAGAUAAAGCAUAGCAGUGUGAACAGUCAACACAG